Long non-coding RNA from Asterias rubens (European starfish), 331 nucleotides. RefSeq lists it as uncharacterized. The record is from RefSeq and is a predicted model, not a curated record. NCBI's taxonomy places the organism in Eukaryota, Metazoa, Echinodermata, Asteroidea, Forcipulatida, Asteriidae. The transcript has 3 exons.
GUGCAGUGUUGGAAGACUUUGCCGUACACAGUUAAAAAGCAUCGGGCUUGAAAUCUCAGGUUGUUUCCAGUGAGGGCGGUUUCAGUCAACAAGCAAACCAUGAAUUAUCCCUGGAACAGGUUUGAAGCCAAAAGGAUAAAGUGCAAGACUGAACGUUUAUCUUCCCAAUGUUCACUGCCUGUCAUUGCUUUGAUCAAAAUUUAAACAAAGUUGAAUUAUUUUAUCUUCAGUACAUGUGUACUUUCUGAUGAGAAACAUAAUUUCGAUUUGAGUUGCUUCAAUAAAAUAAAAAAAAGUAUAAGUAUCUGAGCUUGUUUUCUGUAUGUGAAUU